AGUAAUACAUCGGAACGUGUCUUCUAGUGGGGGAUAACUGCCCGAAAGGGCAGCUAAUACCGCAUGAGACCUGAGGGUGAAAGCGGGGGAUCGCAAGACCUCGCGCUGGAAGAGCGGCCGAUGUCCGAUUAGCUAGUUGGCGAGGUAAAGGCUCACCAAGGCGACGAUCGGUAGCUGGUCUGAGAGGACGACCAGCCACACUGGGACUGAGACACGGCCCAG
Molecule: ribosomal RNA, 222 nt
Filed under: uncultured bacterium
Lineage: Bacteria
Description: partial 16S ribosomal RNA
Rfam family: Bacterial small subunit ribosomal RNA
Source: RNAcentral